Sphaerodactylus townsendi is the source of this 491-nucleotide long non-coding RNA. RefSeq lists it as uncharacterized. The record is from RefSeq and is a predicted model, not a curated record. NCBI's taxonomy places the organism in Eukaryota, Metazoa, Chordata, Lepidosauria, Squamata, Sphaerodactylidae. The transcript has 2 exons.
UACAGGCUAAUCUGAAUUCCCCAGAUAAGCCUCCACAGCUCAGGCGGCAGAGCUGGGAAUCAAACCCGGUUCCUCCAGAUUAGAUACAUGAGCUCUUAACCUCCUACGCCACUGCUGCUCCUAGAUGAGUGGAAGAACUGUGCCCAACCAUACCCAGUACUUGUGGAUCAACUGCCAAGGUCAGCUGUAAGUUGUGUGUGUGGAAAAGGACUGGCAUUUUUCAGGAGAUCCUGUGUUAGUUGUGGGGGUGGGUGAGUGGGUGGGUUAAGGUCCCCCUGAACUAACUCAAUUGCUUAUACCAGAUGCGGGUAUUUCACUGAUUUGCAGUAGUUGUGAGAAGUUUUUUAAAAACGUUUUCAGUGUAUUUGUUUUCUUAAAGUAAAUUCACAUUAAGGAUGAUCUGGCAACUAGUUGAUCGCUCACCAGAUGAGUAAUUAUGGUACUUCCAAAAAAAUUAUGGAACAAUAAAAUAAAACACUUCUGCAAGUUCA